Molecule: long non-coding RNA, 1083 nt
Organism: Diceros bicornis minor
Lineage: Eukaryota; Metazoa; Chordata; Mammalia; Perissodactyla; Rhinocerotidae
Exons: 4
Source: RefSeq, a predicted model, not a curated record
UCCCUGGGACCCUGGCUAAGCUGGCCGCGCUCGGUCGCUCGCUCUCGCGCUGGCCUCCCGGUGCUCGGCUCCUUUCUCUCGGCGAGGGUGGGCCGGCGCCUGCCUCACCGUGACAUCACCUCCAUUCAGGCGCUUAUCGGCCGCCCGCAGCGCUCCAGGGCUACACCUGGCAGGAGGGUCAUUAGAAAGCUACCAACACACCUGGAGGUUCUUUGCAUCCAAUUUUCGUAGACGAUAUUGCUCAUUCAAAGGAGACCAAGGAGCCACCUACAUCCACCUGACCAGCGUAACCCAAGGGAGCUGGCCUUAACCUUGGCCUCUCUUGGGCUCAAAAGAAUCCGGACAGAUGUGCUCCAGGGGCCACAGAGGGUGUGAGCAUUCCCUCCCUCUGUCCCUGGGUCUCCUCCAACACAGCACACCCUGCAGGGGCAUCUGUGCGCCUCCAUCCUGGCCUCACUCUCUCUUGCCUGGACUAUCCCAUUGGUCUCCUGAAGGGUCUCCAGCCUCCUGACUUGUGAAUCCAUCCUCUCUAACGCCAUCGGCGGGAUCGUUGUAGAACACAAACCGAAGAACCUUUCAAGCUCCGCCUGCCAUACAGAGAGGCCUUCAGUGCUGGUACCAGCCCACUUUCCCAACUUCGUCUUCCGCCAUCGGCCACCGUCUCCCACCUGUCAGGCUCCAGCCACACUGAACUCCUCACUGUUUUUAGCUGACUUCAGGGCUGGAAUAAAGGGGUGUGGCGCUGCUGUGUGCUUGGACAUGUAGACUUCGCCUCGUACCCGCCUUCUAGGUCCGGGCACUGUGCUGACUCAAGCAUCUCCCUAACCUUGCAUGAUGGUCAGAUGUACAGGAUCCAGAGUUAAACAGGCCCAGGGCCAAGUCCUGCCUUCCCCACUAACUUGGUGUAUUCUUUGGGCAAAUUGCUUCACCUUUUUGACCCUCAGUAUGUCCAUCUAUAAAACGGACAUACUAAUGCCCGCCUCCUGGGGUUACUGUGAGGAUUCUAUGAGAUGGUGCAUAUAGAAUACUGAGCCCAGGGCCUGGCACAUGGAAGAUGCUCAGCAGAUGCUGCCUCUUCUAUGA